Molecule: ribosomal RNA, 497 nt
Filed under: uncultured bacterium
Lineage: Bacteria
Description: partial 16S ribosomal RNA
Rfam family: Bacterial small subunit ribosomal RNA
Source: RNAcentral
GACGAACGCUGGCGGCGUGCCUAAUACAUGCAAGUUGAGCGCUGAAGGUUGGUACUUGUACCGACUGGAUGAGCAGCGAACGGGUGAGUAACGCGUGGGGAAUCUGCCUUUGAGCGGGGGACAACAUUUGGAAACGAAUGCUAAUACCGCAUAAAAACUUUAAACACAAGUUUUAAGUUUGAAAGAUGCAAUUGCAUCACUCAAAGAUGAUCCCGCGUUGUAUUAGCUAGUUGGUGAGGUAAAGGCUCACCAAGGCGAUGAUACAUAGCCGACCUGAGAGGGUGAUCGGCCACAUUGGGACUGAGACACGGCCCAAACUCCUACGGGAGGCAGCAGUAGGGAAUCUUCGGCAAUGGACGAAAGUCUGACCGAGCCACGCCGCGUGAGUGAAGAAGGUUUUCGGAUCGUAAAACUCUGUUGGUAGAGAAGAACGUUGGUGAGAGUGGAAAGCUCAUCAAGUGACGGUAACUACCCAGAAAGGGACGGCUAACUACGUG